This is a long non-coding RNA of Nothoprocta perdicaria, 234 nucleotides long. RefSeq lists it as uncharacterized. The transcript is spliced from 3 exons. The record is from RefSeq and is a predicted model, not a curated record. Lineage: Eukaryota; Metazoa; Chordata; Aves; Tinamiformes; Tinamidae.
AGGCUCACUGAAUUCCCAGAGCUUGCACCGCACCGAUUAAGGCUCAUUAUCACUAACGGACAUCUCUCUCUCAUUUUUUGUUUUCCUCAAACUUCCCUUGUGUUGACGAAGGUUAUUUCCUGCCUUUACCAAGUACUGUGGCACAGCAAGAAUGAUCUGCUAGAAAGUGGUCUUGUCUAUCAGCACUCAAGAGGGGCUAUUGGCUUGCCAUACAUUGAGCACUGCUCUGAAGAA